AUCUCCAAUCGCGUAUAUUAAAGUUGUUGCAGUUAAAACGCUCGUCGUCGGAUUUCGGGGCGGGCCGACCGGUCUGCCGAUGGGUAUGCACUGGCCGGCGCGUCCUUCCACCCGGAGACCGCGCCUACUCUUAACUGAGCGGGCGCGGGAGACGGGUCUUUUACUUUGAAAAAAUCAGAGUGUUUCAAGCAGGCAGUCGCUCUUGCAUGGAUUAGCAUGGGAUAAUGAAAUAGGACUCUGGUGCUAUUUUGUUGGUGUCGAACACCGGAGUAAUGAUUAACAGGGACAGUCAGGGGCACUCGUAUUCCGCCGAGAGAGGUGAAAUGCUCAGACAAGCGGAAGACGAACCAAUGCGAAAGCAUUUGCAAGGGAGGUGU
This 377-nucleotide ribosomal RNA is filed under the name uncultured eukaryote. RNAcentral's name for it is "SSU rRNA". It matches the Rfam family "Eukaryotic small subunit ribosomal RNA", at positions 587 to 969 of the family's 1831-position model. The record is from RNAcentral.